GCACUCGUAGCUCAACUGGAUAGAGUACAGCCCUCCGAAGGCUGGGGUUUUGGGUUCAAAUCCCAACGAGUGCA
Molecule: transfer RNA, 74 nt
Organism: Verrucomicrobiaceae bacterium
Lineage: Bacteria; Pseudomonadati; Verrucomicrobiota; Verrucomicrobiia; Verrucomicrobiales; Verrucomicrobiaceae
Rfam family: tRNA
About the family: Transfer RNA (tRNA) molecules are approximately 80 nucleotides in length.
Source: Rfam